This 555-nucleotide long non-coding RNA is filed under the name Musa acuminata (dwarf banana). Its description in RNAcentral is "long non-coding RNA (MACU_LNC009282)". Lineage: Eukaryota; Viridiplantae; Streptophyta; Magnoliopsida; Zingiberales; Musaceae. The record is from RNAcentral.
GGGAAACUUGCCUUUCAAAGAUUUCGAUCCGAAGAUCCAAAGAAGGUGCCAGCCCAAAUCCUUCUACUUUUCCUCCGUGUCCUCUCUAUGUUUCGUUUUGUGCUCUCGUUUUCUUCCUUUCUUCGCAACUACACCACGUGUCGAACAUCGAGGCACAAUCACCUGCUCUCUCUUACUCUCCUUAUUCUCUUCCAACUGUAGCUGCUAUCGCCGCAGUCGCAGCCCCUUCUUCCCCUUCUCUUCUUCCUCUCCUUCCCUUCUUCCUUCCUCUUCCUCUUUCUCUGCCACAGCUACAGCUGCCACAGCCGCAGUCGCAGCUACUUCUUUCCCUUCUCCCAUUCCUUCUCCUUCCUUUCUUCUUCUUCUCUUCUUCUCCUUCCUCCCCUUCUUCUCCCCGACGAAUAGCACCUCCUUUCCUCUGUUUCCUCCUGCAGGAAACAGAGGUGCCGCCUCUCCACCCGCUUCUACUUCUUCUCUUCUUCCUCACCAUCUCUUCCUCUCCUUCUCUUCCAGCUGCAGCUUCCACCACCCCAGCCGCAGCUCCUCCUUUCCCUU